UACGGAGGGGGCUAGCGUUGUUCGGAAUUACUGGGCGUAAAGCGCGCGUAGGCGGCCUUCUAAGUCGAACGUGAAAUCCCCGGGCUCAACCCGGGAACUGCGUCCGAUACUUCCGAGCUGGAGGUAGGUAGGGGAGAUCGGAAUUCCUGGUGUAGCGGUGAAAUGCGCAGAUAUCAGGAGGAACACCGGUGGCGAAGGCGGAUCUCUGGGCCUUACCUGACGCUGAGGCGCGAAAGCUAGGGGAGCGAACAGG
RNAcentral lists this ribosomal RNA (253 nucleotides) under uncultured bacterium. RNAcentral describes it as "partial 16S ribosomal RNA". It matches the Rfam family "Bacterial small subunit ribosomal RNA", at positions 524 to 776 of the family's 1533-position model. The record is from RNAcentral.